This 23-nucleotide non-coding RNA is filed under the name Mus musculus (house mouse). The record is from RNAcentral. Lineage: Eukaryota; Metazoa; Chordata; Mammalia; Rodentia; Muridae.
UGCUGCUGCCGCACAACCUGGCU